Molecule: long non-coding RNA, 253 nt
Filed under: Mytilus galloprovincialis (Mediterranean mussel)
Lineage: Eukaryota; Metazoa; Mollusca; Bivalvia; Mytilida; Mytilidae
Source: RNAcentral
CAUCUCUGCUAUCGUUUACUAAAAUAUCGUCAUUGAGCUUUAUGGACCAGCAAUAGGUUGUAAUUUAGGUUGGAUUGGUCGGUCCGACAUCUCUGCUUGAUCAGGAUUCGUUACUAUGCUCCCUCUGCCUCUACAUCAACUCCUACCACCAUGCCCACGUGUUCUGGUAGAUUUUGGUGGCAUGACUGUAUUGUUUCCGAGAAAUCUACGAUUUAAUCAGAAAUAGAAGGAAUUGAACUGUAUUGAUAUGGAA